AUGAACCAAACAUGGCCUGAACUCAAUGAUAUGUAUGGCGGAGGACUCACCUAUCUGAUAAAUUGCUUUUCUGUAAAAAAUCUAAAACUCCUUCGUAUAUCUUGGCACUCGGUUAUUUUCCACAUAUAUCUUUUUGUAGUAUUGUUUACUUCAUAUAUGUUGAUGUCUAAAAGUUUCACAAAAUUUAGGAUAAUUUUACUAUAUAUUAUACUCCAUCCAUUUUUAUAUACAAGACCACAAACUCAGAUUGCAGGUACCAAUGUAAAAUUUAAUGUGUGCUUUGCAAGUUGGUUUUUUUUCGUUUACUGGGAUCAUUAA
Molecule: ribosomal RNA, 318 nt
Filed under: Triticum aestivum (bread wheat)
Lineage: Eukaryota; Viridiplantae; Streptophyta; Magnoliopsida; Poales; Poaceae
Description: partial small subunit ribosomal RNA
Source: RNAcentral